RNAcentral lists this ribosomal RNA (445 nucleotides) under uncultured bacterium. Its description in RNAcentral is "SSU rRNA". It matches the Rfam family "Bacterial small subunit ribosomal RNA", at positions 26 to 518 of the family's 1533-position model. The record is from RNAcentral.
AGAACGAACGCUGGCGGCAGGCUUAACACAUGCAAGUCGAGCGCCGUAGCAAUACGGAGCGGCAGACGGGUGAGUAACGCGUGGGAACAUACCCUCCGGUUCGGAAUAACUCAGGGAAACUUGAGCUAAUACCGGAUACGGCUUAGCGGCGAAAGAUUUAUCGCCGGAGGAUUGGCCCGCGUCCGAUUAGCUAGUUGGUGUGGUAACGGCGCACCAAGGCGACGAUCGGUAGCUGGUCUGAGAGGAUGAUCAGCCACAUUGGGACUGAGACACGGCCCAAACUCCUACGGGAGGCAGCAGUGGGGAAUAUUGGACAAUGGGCGCAAGCCUGAUCCAGCCAUGCCGCGUGAGUGAUGAAGGCCUUAGGGUUGUAAAGCUCUUUCACCCACGACGAUAAUGACGGUAGUGGGAGAAGAAGCCCGGCUAACUUCGCGCCAGCAGCCGC